CCUACGGGUGGCAGCAGUGGGGAAUAUUGCACAAUGGGGGAAACCCUGAUGCAGCGACGCCGCGUGAGUGAUGAAGUAUUUCGGUACGUAAAGCUCUAUCAGCAGGGAAGAAAAUGCACGUACCUGAUCAACAAGCAACGGCUAACUACGUGCCAGCAGACGCGGUAAUACGGAGGGCGCACGCGUUAUCCGGAUUUACUGGGUGUAAAGGUAGCGGAGACGGUGAUGCAAGUCAGAAGUGAAAGCCCGGGGCGCAACUCCGGGACUGCUUGUGAAACUGGGUGACUGGAGUGCGGGAGAGGUAAGCGGAAUUCCAGGUGUAGCGGUGAAAUGCGUAGAUAUCAGGAGGAACACCAGUGGCGAAGGCGGCUUACUGGACUGUAACUGACGUUGAGGCGCGAAAGCGUGGGGAGCAAACAGGAUUAGAUACCCGAGUAGUC
RNAcentral lists this ribosomal RNA (440 nucleotides) under uncultured bacterium. Its description in RNAcentral is "partial 16S ribosomal RNA". It matches the Rfam family "Bacterial small subunit ribosomal RNA", at positions 338 to 795 of the family's 1533-position model. The record is from RNAcentral.